RNAcentral lists this non-coding RNA (150 nucleotides) under Paraburkholderia xenovorans LB400. Its description in RNAcentral is "Burkholderia xenovorans LB400 Burkholderia sRNA 2". It matches the Rfam family "Burkholderia sRNA 2". Rfam says of the family: Upregulated in response to iron ion depletion. Predicted targets include MerR family transcriptional regulator. The record is from Rfam by way of RNAcentral. Lineage: Bacteria; Pseudomonadati; Pseudomonadota; Betaproteobacteria; Burkholderiales; Burkholderiaceae.
AUGAGUGCCUGUACAUCCCAAAUUCUUCGCCGCUGCGCCAGACUUGACGGCCGUUUCCGGUUUUUCCCGGGUGCCGUCGGAGUCGUGAGGCGCAACGCGAGCACUGUAGGCGAGCCGCUUGCCCCGUACGCCGGGGCGGCGGCUUUUUUA